AUUGAACGCUGGCGGCAGGCCUAACACAUGCAAGUCGAACGAGUGGCGGACGGGUGAGUAAUGUCUGGGAAACUGCCCGAUGGAGGGGGAUAACUACUGGAAACGGUAGCUAAUACCGCAUACCAUCGGAUGUGCCCAGAUGGGAUUAGCUAGUAGGUGGGGUAACGGCUCACCUAGGCGACGAUCCCUAGCUGGUCUGAGAGGAUGACCAGCCACACUGUAACUGAGACCAGGUCCAGACUCCUACGGGAGGCAGCAGUUGGGAAUAGUGCACAAUGGGCGCAAGCCUGAUGCAGCCAUGCCGCGUGUAUGAAGAAGGCCUUCGGGUGGUAAAGUACUGUCAGCGGGGAGGCGUUACCCGCAGAAGAAGCACCGGCUAACUCCGUGCCAGCAGCCGCGGUAAUUC
Molecule: ribosomal RNA, 406 nt
Filed under: uncultured bacterium
Lineage: Bacteria
Description: partial 16S ribosomal RNA
Rfam family: Bacterial small subunit ribosomal RNA
Source: RNAcentral